CAGGGAGGGCGGGGGAGUGGGAGCAUCGCAUCCAUUUCAUUCAUGAUUUUCUUCUCCUGGAGCCCCGGGUCGGAGUUGCGCGGCUACGGCCACCGCCAGAGGGACCCCAGCAGGGCACACAGGAGAACCACCGUACCAUUGCUACCCUGGUUCUAGUCACUGACCUCUUUAGCCUGAUUUCUGCAAUAGAUUCUUUACUAGUCUCUCAGCUUCCACCCUUGAUCUGCAGUUGAUUCUCUGCACAACAGUUGGAAUGAUGUUUUUAAAAUCUAAGUCAGACCUUUGUCCAUGCUGUGGAAUGCCAUCUCCCAUAACUUCCUUACUACCCAGAGUCCAGUUCAAAUACUACCUUCUCCUCGGAGCCUCCCUGACAUUUCCAGAGACACUCAGCUCUCAUUCUGACUUUGAUGGAGUUUUCUUAUCUUUUCCCUGGGUGGAAUGUGAAUUCACGAUAAGAAGAUCUGGGUGCUUCUCUCUCCCUGACUCCAGCACAGAAGGACUCUAAGGUAACUGCUCCAGGCAACUCUGGACUCCAUGACAGACAUGUGCUGGAACAGGCUGGCAAGCUGUUAUGAGUUCCUGAAAAUUGCUGAGCAACCACUUGCAGAUGGUUUCCAUCUCAACUCUUCCACUCACCUGCUGAGAGAUUCUGAGCAUCUUUCAAUUAUCAGCUUGCCCUGCUGUCUCUGGGUCAGUUAAGACCAGCUGCCUUUCUAUUCUACAAGUUCCCCUGGGACAAAUUUAUUCACAGUGUGUGUGUUUUUUUUAAUCUCUUUCUGCCUAUUUUCCCCCUCCGUUCCACAGUGAAUGGACAGAGCUGCUGCCACCAAAGCUAGUACAUCUCUAGUGUAUCAUUUCUUGUUCUGUGUUCAAAGCUAUUGAAUUUCUGUCUCUAUAAUCAUAAUCAUAGAAACACAGAAAUUCAGUAUGAUUAUGUGAUUAUAGAUUAUACCGUCCAGGGUUGAUUUCAGUGAAUCCCAUCAGUCAUCCACCUCUCUGAGAAGCAAUAUGCUUGCUGAUUGAAUCUUGAACUGUGGAGCAACUGUAAAUUGCUCUCUUCCUCUUAUCUACUAUGUCUUUCUCCUCCCUCUAUGCAUUUAAAAAAUUAAUUUCUUAUUAACGUGUAUUAAUUGCACAUAUCAAUGGGGUUCAGUUGAUACUUCCAUACACGCAUAUACCAUGCAAUGAUUAAGUCAACCACCUUUUCCCACCCUUCUAAACCCUUCCCAAUCUUUAUUAACCACUCUUCUAUGUUCUAGUAACAUAUUCAAAGUUGCUGUUUGUUAUUUUGCACAUUUGGAUCACAUUUUUCUCUGUUUCUAUAGAUAUUGAAACAUUUUUACUUGCUUUUUUCUGUCUCAUAAUUUUUUUUUUUCUGAAAUGAGGUCUUACUGUGUCAUGCAUACUGGCUUGACCUCAUAAUCUCUUGACUUAGCCUUCUGGGUAGCUGGGAUUGCAGAUGCACACCACUAUUCCCAGCUUAUUUUUGUCAUUUUUUAAAUUUUUAUUUUUUGCAGUUUUGUGCUUUGAACCCAGGACCUGUGCAUAGUAGGCCAGCACUUUACCAACAGACCUACAUCCCCUGUGUGCUCAUCUUAUAAUUUUUUUUGAUUCAUUGUUGAACAUCUGUGCAGAAUAGAAGUAAAUGAGGUAGAUAAUAAAAUCUAUUAAGUAUGAAAAGGUUCAUGCCUUUCCUGUCAAGACAUUAGUAUGUGGGAGUUGAUCUAGAAAAGAGUCGGAUGAGUUUGCAUGGUGUUUGUACUGAUAGUUUCACUGAAUGCUAAGCCUCAAUUUUGGGCUGAUGUUGUGCUUAGGAUGGGGUCUGAGAUGUAAGUAAAUUUUUCUCACUGUUCCUGCUACUCCUUCAGCCUUCAGUCCCACCUUCAUGUUUGUACUACAAUGAACGUCUCUCCCCAUGAGCACGGUCAACCCCAGGGUGGACUACUGUUGCUUGCUAGUCAGUGCUAGGCUAUCUGUGGAGGCAGGAGUGGUGCUCUGUUGUGUUUGCUUAUCCCCAAACUUAGGCUAGUCCUGUGUUUUUUGAAAGUUUAAAGAACAUUCAUUGUAUUCUUGAA
Ictidomys tridecemlineatus (thirteen-lined ground squirrel) is the source of this 2075-nucleotide non-coding RNA. The record is from RefSeq and is a predicted model, not a curated record. NCBI's taxonomy places the organism in Eukaryota, Metazoa, Chordata, Mammalia, Rodentia, Sciuridae.